AGAUACACAGAGAGAGAAGCAGAUCAAAUAAAAAAGGGAGAGACAGAGAAGCUCGUUGGGAGAGGAAGGAAAAGUUGAAGGAGAAAAAAAGGAAGGAAAGUUUAGGUAGAAAGACAAAUUGAUAGAGAGGAGAGUAGAGAGAAAAUGGUGUUGUUUUCCUAACAGUCAAGCUUUCUGUCUUUGUCUUUCCUCGUGGGAGAAGUUGCUGGGAGGAGAAUCGGAAAAGAAAGAGGACACGGUGAAUUCCAGUUAAAAUGAGAAGUUGAGAAGAUAUUAAUGUGAUCUAUAGAGAGUAUGCAUCAGAGGAAUUAAGAUCAUCACCUGUUAAUUCUGAUGAUAAUCACCUAUUAGAAAUGUUUAUGUUCGACGGAAAGAUCAUAAAGUUGAACAUGCUUCAGAAAGUUUGUGUAGGCAAAGGUCUUAUACCACAUGAUACAGGCAGUAUACGAGAAGCACUUAAUAAAUUCACCAAAUAAUUUCAGAAAUUUUUCGAUAAGGAGUCCCGUUGAGAUACCAAAUUAUCAACAGAGGUACGUUGUUAUCCUGUAAAAUAUGCAUGCAUGUCAUCUAAAUGUUUCACGGGUUCAACAUGAAUUCUGGGAUCUGGGUCAUUGGGUGGCUUAACAUGGGGGACAACUUCAACCCGAUCAUGGAUGGGAUUUUAAGUACGCUUAAAUAAAAAAAAUUAGAUUACGACGGGCACGUUAAACCCAAGUGUCGACCGUUUUACAAUUACAGAAGAACGAGAUCAGGGCAAUAAUUACGGUGAAUCUGACCAGCACACCUUUUAACAAACUCAAAGAGUGUGUGUUGAGUAAGACAGAGUCAUGGAUGAUGAAAUCAAAGAAGAAUACCUAAGUCAAUCGGUUGGUAGCAUGGUUCAACGAGCCUACUAGCCCCAAGUUAUUAUUAGGAUGCUUCCUUUUUUGUUUUUUAUUUAGUUACAUUGCGAGCAUAUGUGGCAAUUGAAGUUUGUCUUACUCGCAAAUUAAGAUUUCGUGUGUUUAUGGCCUUUGCCUUUAUGUUUCAUCUUUCAUGUAUGGACGUGUGUUGCACUUUCUA
Arachis duranensis is the source of this 1062-nucleotide long non-coding RNA. RefSeq lists it as uncharacterized. The transcript has 3 exons. The record is from RefSeq and is a predicted model, not a curated record. NCBI's taxonomy places the organism in Eukaryota, Viridiplantae, Streptophyta, Magnoliopsida, Fabales, Fabaceae.